CGGGUACUCGAGUGGCGAACGGGUGAGUAACACGUGGGUGAUCUGCCUUGCACUUCGGGAUAAGCUUGGGAAACUGGGUCUAAUACCGGAUAGGACAGCUGUUUAGUGUCAGUUGUGGAAAGUUUUUUCGGUGCAAGAUGAGCUCGCGGCCUAUCAGCUUGUUGGUGGGGUAAUGGCCUACCAAGGUGUCGACGGGUAGCCGGCCUGAGAGGGUGUACGGCCACAUUGGGACUGAGAUACGGCCCAG
Molecule: ribosomal RNA, 247 nt
Filed under: uncultured Actinomycetales bacterium
Lineage: Bacteria; Bacillati; Actinomycetota; Actinomycetes; Actinomycetales
Description: partial 16S ribosomal RNA
Rfam family: Bacterial small subunit ribosomal RNA
Source: RNAcentral